AUUCCCUGAAGAAAAACAGAAUGGGAUGUUCUGACCCAGCUAUGUAUUUUUUAAAAAUAACUGAGUUACUGAGUCACUGCACACUCUACCCUCUCUGCACAGUUCCAGACUGCUGCCACUCAGAAACCCAGGCCUCUGCACCACUCAAAUGGAACACAAGCACUCAGCAAUGGCAGGAGACACUCAAGGCUGAGAUGGUCUUUCUGAGAAGCCCAUUUUAUGGAACGUUAUGUGACUGUCACGACCUGCAGACAUGAGCACUGGGCAUAG
This 270-nucleotide long non-coding RNA is filed under the name Homo sapiens (human). RNAcentral describes it as "HSALNT0029884". Lineage: Eukaryota; Metazoa; Chordata; Mammalia; Primates; Hominidae. The record is from RNAcentral.